Long non-coding RNA from Gossypium raimondii (Peruvian cotton), 628 nucleotides. RefSeq lists it as uncharacterized. The record is from RefSeq and is a predicted model, not a curated record. The transcript is spliced from 3 exons. Lineage: Eukaryota; Viridiplantae; Streptophyta; Magnoliopsida; Malvales; Malvaceae.
UUCUACCAUAUGUCUUUGAAUAUUCUGAGCUAAUCCCCUUCCUGUUGAAUUUUUGCCCUCGUGAAUGAGUUUGUUUCUAAAGGACCAUAUCAACCAUAACGCAUAGCAGAAAAGCCGACACUGGUAAUUGUUGUUGUUCUUGAAAACCCAGGACACUCUCGGAAAACAUGAAGACUCUCUUCUACUCCAAAAUAACAUCGUGGACAGCGGGCAGUUGAAUUAACCCUCCUCAACCUGAGAUUACCAAAGUGAGGGAUAUAAUCCCAUGAAAUCCUCCAGAUUGUAAUUGCAAUUUUUGAAGGCAAUUGUAGGCUCCAUAAUUUUUUGUAAAAAUUUCUUAUUUCGGUCUGUAAUAGGUAGUCAUUAGCUGUAGAAGCAUCUUGUAGUAGUUUAUACGCACUACGUACUGAAAACUCACCAGAUAGUUCUCCACUCCACACCUGAAUAUCCUCAUGUUCGGUCUCUGCCAGAGGAAUUUGUAGAAUCUUCCGAGCAGUAUCUUCUUGAAAGCCACCUUGUCAAUCCCCUGAAUCCAGUUGUCUUCCCAGAUAGAAAUGCUACUCCCUUUACCAACUCUCCAACCCAAUCCUCUUUGGAGAAGUCCUUUUGCCCGCCAGAUGCUCUUCCG